This 74-nucleotide transfer RNA is filed under the name Sutterella wadsworthensis. RNAcentral's name for it is "tRNA-Arg". It matches the Rfam family "tRNA". Rfam says of the family: Transfer RNA (tRNA) molecules are approximately 80 nucleotides in length. Their secondary structure includes four short double-helical elements and three loops (D, anti-codon, and T loops). Lineage: Bacteria; Pseudomonadati; Pseudomonadota; Betaproteobacteria; Burkholderiales; Sutterellaceae. The record is from RNAcentral. RNAcentral also lists the same sequence under 1 other name.
CUGCCCGUAGCUCAGUUGGAUAGAGCAUCUGCCUUCUAAGCAGAGGGUCGCGGGUUCGAUUCCUGCCGGGCAGG